AUACUUACCUGGACAGGGUCAAUGGACGAUCAAGAAGGCCUAUGGCAUAGAUUGGCGACUUCUAUUGCACUUUGGUGGGGCGCCUGUCUAAGGUCGGCACAAGUGGUCGAGCCUAUGUCAUAAUUUGUUAAAAUGGGCCUCUGUUAGCGCAGCCCCUGC
Molecule: small nuclear RNA, 159 nt
Filed under: Olea europaea subsp. europaea
Lineage: Eukaryota; Viridiplantae; Streptophyta; Magnoliopsida; Lamiales; Oleaceae
Description: U1 spliceosomal RNA
Rfam family: U1 spliceosomal RNA
About the family: U1 is a small nuclear RNA (snRNA) component of the spliceosome (involved in pre-mRNA splicing).
Source: Rfam by way of RNAcentral